GCGUCGUCUGAAGAAUCGCUGUCGCAGCUCACGCACUGAGAGCUUUGCGCUUUCUUCCUUUAGCUGUGGGGAAAGUCCCCGGAGAUGCAGAUCAUGCCCUCGUUCACAUCCGGAAAGCGACUGUCUCCAAGCAUGAUAGGCAGGGACGAGGGCGGGAGGAUACUCUGCUUGGGCCUUUUCACUAGGGCUCGUGGCUCACACCUCUCCAAUCUGCCGUGCAUUGCGCGCGUAGAUCAUCUGGCUACGGCACCAAGGUGCGGAGAUAUGAGCACUUUGGAUCGCUCAGGUUUUCGAUAUGUGCAUGCGCGAUAUGUUGCUCAUAGACAAAGUUAUGCGAUUGCGGGUCGGUCGCGACUUGUCAACGGAAUGGGGCUUACUCUCAUUCGACG
Molecule: RNase MRP RNA, 389 nt
Filed under: Fibroporia radiculosa
Lineage: Eukaryota; Fungi; Basidiomycota; Agaricomycetes; Polyporales; Fibroporiaceae
Description: RNase MRP
Rfam family: RNase MRP
About the family: RNase MRP is an enzymatically active ribonucleoprotein with two distinct roles in eukaryotes. In mitochondria it plays a direct role in the initiation of mitochondrial DNA replication. In the nucleus it is involved in precursor rRNA processing, where it cleaves the internal transcribed spacer 1 between 18S and 5.8S rRNAs.
Source: Rfam by way of RNAcentral